RNAcentral lists this transfer-messenger RNA (313 nucleotides) under Bradyrhizobium lablabi. RNAcentral's name for it is "Alphaproteobacteria transfer-messenger RNA". It matches the Rfam family "Alphaproteobacteria transfer-messenger RNA", at positions 1 to 263 of the family's 355-position model. Rfam says of the family: Bacterial tmRNA, also known as 10Sa RNA or SsrA, is named for its dual tRNA and mRNA-like properties. Its role is to liberate the mRNA from a stalled ribosome. Lineage: Bacteria; Pseudomonadati; Pseudomonadota; Alphaproteobacteria; Hyphomicrobiales; Nitrobacteraceae. The record is from RNAcentral.
GGCCUAUCUUUCCGCAUCCGUUGCGCGUACGGUCGCUCUGUCGCAAGACGAUGGCGCUGAAACUUAGAGCGGACUGCGGGCAGACCCGGGGGCAGUACCCGGCGCCUCCACCCUAGCAGCUUGAGCUUAAAGGUCUCAUUUUCGAUGAGAUCGAUUUUGUCGGAAGGCAAAAUCCCUGGGCUGCUACGGCGGGGGCGAAACAGGAUCGAUGGUCGCGAAGAAGCUCUGAAUUGUGCCCGGCAUGAUACCGCCGUUAUCGGGUCAAAAACCUAAAUGCAAACGAUAACGUUGCAUUGAACGAAGUGCGCCUCGC